GCCGCAUAAGUGUAACGGGUGACACGCAAGCCUUCCAAGUUUGAUAAGCGAGUUCGAGCCUCGCAUGCGGUUCCA
RNAcentral lists this transfer RNA (75 nucleotides) under Dehalococcoidia bacterium. RNAcentral's name for it is "tRNA-Gly". It matches the Rfam family "tRNA". From Rfam's summary of the family: Transfer RNA (tRNA) molecules are approximately 80 nucleotides in length. Their secondary structure includes four short double-helical elements and three loops (D, anti-codon, and T loops). Further hydrogen bonds mediate the characteristic L-shaped molecular structure. tRNAs have two regions of fundamental functional importance: the anti-codon, which is responsible for specific mRNA codon recognition, and the 3' end, to which the tRNAs corresponding amino acid is attached (by aminoacyl-tRNA synthetases). tRNAs cope with the degeneracy of the genetic code in two manners: having more than one tRNA (with a specific anti-codon) for a particular amino acid; and 'wobble' base-pairing, i.e. permitting non-standard base-pairing at the 3rd anti-codon position. Lineage: Bacteria; Bacillati; Chloroflexota; Dehalococcoidia. The record is from RNAcentral.